This 247-nucleotide ribosomal RNA is filed under the name uncultured crenarchaeote. Its description in RNAcentral is "partial 16S ribosomal RNA". It matches the Rfam family "Archaeal small subunit ribosomal RNA", at positions 478 to 725 of the family's 1478-position model. The record is from RNAcentral. Lineage: Archaea; Thermoproteati; Thermoproteota.
AGCUCUCCGAGUGGUGUGGAUGUUUAUUGGGCCUAAAGCAUCCGUAGCUGGCUAGGUAAGUCCCUUGUUAAAUCCACCGAAUUAAUCGUUGGAUCGCGGGGGAUACUGCUUGGCUAGGGGACGAGAGAGGCAGACGGUAUUUUCGGGGUAGGGGUGAAAUCCUAUAAUCCCGGGAAGACCACCAGUGGCGAAGGCUGUCUGCUAGAACGCGCCCGACGGUGGGGGAUGAAAGCUGGGGGAGCGAACC